Molecule: non-coding RNA, 144 nt
Organism: Gossypium raimondii (Peruvian cotton)
Lineage: Eukaryota; Viridiplantae; Streptophyta; Magnoliopsida; Malvales; Malvaceae
Source: Rfam
UGUUAAAAUUUUUAAUUUUUUUAUUGUUAAAAAUUAGCAUGGCUGAUAAAAUAAUUAAAUAGUGAGACGUGGUGUGUCAUGUGCACUACAUUAUGACGUACAAUGAUCAAUUUUUAACAGUAAAAAUAGAUAAAAUUUUGAACA